GAGGAGCCAGCGCUGUAUUUACUGCUUGGAUUGAGUCCACAGAGCAGACCUUAGCAACCAUAUUUGGAGGGGAAGACAGAGUUGAAGCAACUUAACCAGGGUUAAAGUAGGGUCAACCUAUGGAUUCAAGGUUAGCGUAGGCUGGGCACUUGGCCAACAAGCAUAAGUUUGAUUUUCUUCAAAAUAGUAACUCCUAAUGCGAAGAGGAAGAGAGUCAGUGGCGUCUGGCUGAGGGAAGAAGGAGCCUGGCUGCACCGCUGUCUGUGGUCUGUGGCCUAGGCCAGGUACAAUUGACAGCCUCCCCACACGGAGCCACUUCUUCACGACAGGACAUCAAGAUUCUGUUCAGGACACAACCAACAUGAACCAUCACACACACUGGCAUGAUCAUUGACUUGGGAUUCUUCAAGCAGCCUUUUAGACUCUUUCUGAAACAUUUUCAAAGCAUCACGUAAGUAUUAACUGAAAUGGUUCUUCAAUGGUCCCUGUUACCCUCGGCCUCUUCCCUUCCCUUCUGUAGCCAAUGCUGAGGAAUGCGCAGAGAAAUCUCUAGUCUCCACCACAGGAAGUUAAAAUUUGGCAGAGCACAAACCAGGACCUGGCAAGACCUGGCAGGACCAGCAAGGCUGGGCUUCCCCGGGCUCAAUGGCUAACCAGAAAGCUAAACUGGUCUCCCCUUCGGAAACCCCCUAUUCUACCCUCCCCACCUCUAUUAGGGUGCUCCCCCACCCACCCACUCCUGCCCUCCCGCCCUGGCAUUCCCCAUAGCUGUUUUCUAAGGAGCCUCAUCUUCCUGGCUGCCGAAACAGCAUCACCCUGCACAAUACCUCUUCAGUCACAAUGCAGCACACAAUUAAACGGCAUUGAUGCCACACAGCAGCAAUACGUGCCACUUAAAACAAGCCACUCUGAGCAAAUGACUACUUUGAAUGCAGCGGACAGAAGAGUAUUCCUGAGCACCCCAUUCACCCAGAAGCAGCAUGUAAGUAAAUCUGUGCAAGUUUCCCCUUCCCUCUACCGGGAAGGGUAGGUGUCUGUUACUAGAAACAGCACUAGCCCUGUGUCUGCUCACAAGCUACUCCAUUAGGACUACCCAGAUUAGAAGGAAUGGACAGGGCCUGCUCCAGUUUGGGCUCAGGGACAGAGGGGGUAAGGAAGAAGGCAUUCUGAGUGGGAUGCAGACAACAGGUAGCUGUGAGAAAUCUAAAAGGGGUUAUGGAGUGAGCAGAGAAUAAAAGGUCGGCCCAAAGAUGAGAACCUGAGCGAAGACAAGUGGCUUAAAGCUAAAAGGCUGGCAAUAGUCAGCCAUGCCCUGAGCAGACCAGACAUGCCCUCAACAGGCCAAACAUGCCCUGCAGACCAGCCAUGCCCUGAGCAGACCUUGCCCUCCUCGGCAGUCUGCACGGCCUUGGCUGCUCCUGCUGCAGCCAUCAUACCUGCUCUGACAGCUGGCUCCCUCUCCAUGAGUUCUGCAUUCACAGAUUCAGCCAAGCAUGGUGUGAAAGGCAUAGCUAUCUGUGCUGCAAACACACAGGUUUUUGCCACCCUGGGAAGUCAUGUGUGUGUGGUUUGAUACUUGUGUGCACAUGUGUGGAUGCAUAAGGGUGGAGGCCAGGGGUAGAUGUGAGGUGCCUCCCUCCAUGAUUCCCACCUUACUUUCUGAGACAAGGUGUCUCAGGGAAUCUGGAGCUCGUCUGUUUGCGAAGUUUGGCUGGCCACUGAGCUUCAGGACCCUUCCUGUCCUACCCGUGUGGUUCCACACCAGCACUGUGCCGCAGACUUGUGCCUGGCCCUGACAUUGGUGCCGCAAUCUGAACUCAGACUCUCAUGCUUUCACGUCAGGUACCAUACCAACCCAACCGCCUUCCUAAACCAUGUCAUUGUGUCUCACACCUGCAUGAUUCACAUUCACACCAUGUGAGGUGUUCUAAGCUGCCCAGAACUGGCUUGCAGGGCUCAGGACAGGAAAAGCUUGGGUGCAGCCUCCAGUUUUAUCCCCCCAGGUCUCACAACUAACUCCUUGUAAAAAGAGGGACAACUGUCCUCUCACAUCUGUCCCUUGCUUGGGAUCUUCUCAGAGUGCUUGGUGUAGCCAUGGUCCUGUGCAUCUGUACUUGGGGAGUUCAGAAGCACCCAAGUCCUAGAUUCCUCUUCAUCUGCAUCCCUGUUUUCAUUUGCCCCUUGGUUGCCAGGAGAGUACAUGUGGCCCCUGACACUACACAAACUCACCUCUCCACCCAAUUAGCUCUGACCACUGCCAGCUCUUAGACUGGAAGUCUUGGGUCAUUUUUGAGGUUUUUCUUUUUCUCUGGUGUUAAGAAUGCCACAGGACUGUUAUAAUGCUACAAAAAUUUUACAUCUCCUUUAGUCUUUUAAAAUUAUUUCAUAAUAGAAACAGUCAUUAAGUCUUCCAACCAAAAAAAAAAAAGCCCAGGACCAGAUGGGUUUAGUGCAGAGUUCUAUCUGAUCUUCAAAGAAGACCUAAUACCAAUACUCUUCAUACUAUUCCACAAAAUAGAAACAGAAAGAACACUACCCAGGUCAUUCUAUGAAGCCACAGUUACACUGCGUAUUCCCCCUUAGAGAUGGAAUGGAUUCUGUCCAAUCAGGAACCUGUCACAAUUUCCUUUCAUAAAGGACUUCAUAAGAGAUUUUUUUUUCUACUUCUAUCAUGUUUAAUAUUCCAAAUAGACUUAAAAAACUGGUAGAGUGCAUAUUACUUUUAGCUUCAGAUGAUAUCAUGUAUAUUUAAGAGGC
RNAcentral lists this long non-coding RNA (2757 nucleotides) under Mus musculus (house mouse). RNAcentral's name for it is "RIKEN cDNA A530001N23 gene". The record is from RNAcentral. Lineage: Eukaryota; Metazoa; Chordata; Mammalia; Rodentia; Muridae.